UGUGUUUUAGGUUCUCACGCAUCUUGACAAUCAUAGGGAUGGACUUCAGUCUAUGUUGACUAACAGCCUUCCUUGUCAACUCAGGCUUUAAGGCUGGGUGAAAACAGCUAGAUGAAAGAAAUAUGUCUGUAGGGCUAGAAUAUUAUUCAGUCCAAGAACUGACUUAAAGACAACUGCCAUCUUAGCGAAUCAGAAAAGUCUUCAUGCACAUAUAUUAUUGGUUUAAACCCCCCCAGUAAAAAUGAUAGAACUUGAA
Gavialis gangeticus (Gharial) is the source of this 256-nucleotide long non-coding RNA. RefSeq lists it as uncharacterized. The record is from RefSeq and is a predicted model, not a curated record. The transcript is spliced from 2 exons. NCBI's taxonomy places the organism in Eukaryota, Metazoa, Chordata, Crocodylia, Gavialidae.